AUUCUACCGGUCUGUUUGU
This 19-nucleotide small RNA is filed under the name Arabidopsis thaliana (thale cress). RNAcentral's name for it is "ATSL133190". Lineage: Eukaryota; Viridiplantae; Streptophyta; Magnoliopsida; Brassicales; Brassicaceae. The record is from RNAcentral.